AACGCGAAGAACCUUACCGGGGCUUGACAUCGCACGAAAUCCUACGAAAGUAGGCUUUCCCGCAAGGGAACGUGCAGACAGGUGCUGCAUGGCUGUCGUCAGCUCGUGCCGUGAGGUGUUGGGUUAAGUCCCGCAACGAGCGCAACCCUCGCCGUGUGUUGGUCCGCAAGGAUCUCUCACGCGGGACCGCCGAUGAGAAGUCGGAGGAAGGUGGGGAUGACGUCAAGUCAGCAUGGCCCUUACGUCCCGGGCUACACACGUGCUACAAUGGGUAGGACAACGGGCUGCGAGCUAGUGAUAGUAAGCUAAUCCCUUAAACCUACCCUCAGUUCGGAUUGAAGGCUGCAACUCGCCUUCAUGAAGUCGGAAUCGCUAGUAAACGCAGAUCAGCUACGCUGCGUUGAAUACGUUCCCGGGCCUUGUA
This 424-nucleotide ribosomal RNA is filed under the name uncultured bacterium. Its description in RNAcentral is "bacterial SSU rRNA". It matches the Rfam family "Bacterial small subunit ribosomal RNA", at positions 958 to 1385 of the family's 1533-position model. The record is from RNAcentral.